GUUUAUACCUCUCUCUCUCUUCUUGGGUUUUAACGACCUUACAAGGUCACGUCGGCCAUUUCUGGGUUACUGAACUUAUUUUUACCACAUAACCGGAUGGUCAGCCCUUGCUACGAAGGGACAGUCUAGAUGGGAUUUAAUUCCAGUUCCUAUCUACACCCUUUCAUGCGUCCGUUUCCGGUUUUACCUUGAUACAUCGAAAAUUCGUCUACAUUAUGCCGUGAUUAAGUUGAUCUUCACACGAAAAAACCAGUUUAUUUACUUUUAUCAUCUGCUUAUUCGGUUUUUUCGGCAUAUUUCGCCUCAAUCCAACGAACGCGAAUACCAAUCAGCCAGUCUAGUUUUGGCAACAUGUUGAAGAUGACGCGGUUCAGUGUUAUGUACGUUGUUAUUCUCGGUUUUAUUUCAUUGGUCCGGUGUAUCGAUGAAAUAGAAUUCCCUAAUAACGGAAGGAGAACAGACGAUGGUUUCAAUAAACGAAACAGGAGACAAGAAUUCGUUGAAAGCCCAUCUUCAACAAGAGACGGAGAAGUUAGAUUGUUAGAAAAAAUUCCCACAGCGGUGUUUGUUGGAAAUUCAGAACAAGGCUGUUCAGGGAUCCUAA
This is a long non-coding RNA of Anopheles funestus (African malaria mosquito), 604 nucleotides long. RefSeq lists it as uncharacterized. Lineage: Eukaryota; Metazoa; Arthropoda; Insecta; Diptera; Culicidae. The transcript has 3 exons. The record is from RefSeq and is a predicted model, not a curated record.